AAUAAUAAAGAUGGCGGGUUUGGAUGGCUUCAAUGAAAGAGUUGUGUUAACGUUAAAAUCACAAAAAAGAAAAAAACAAUGUUCUGCAAGAGAGAAAAAAAAGUUAUUUAGACAUUCAAGUGGAGGAAAAAUUCCUUCUAUAUCAUGUAAUCAUGUUUCAGGUUACUGCAAAGCUUGAGAUAUAACACAGGAUAAUUUGCUUAAACAUCAUACAGAAUUCUAUAGUAUUGCAAGUAAAGUUCACAAGAUGCUACUAUACUGUCAAUUCUUAAUUUAAUCAAUGUGAAAAGAGUCAGAGUGAAAUAUAAUAAUCAAAAAAAGUUAAGAACUAUGAGUAUUGAGUACUUUUUAUGCUGUGAGAGAAUUAAAGUACGAGUUUGCCAAGCUUCAUUUUGUUCAGUAUUGUCCAUAAAACCUGAUAGAGUUUUAAGACAUUUUAAUUGCAAGACACUGGUAUAAACAUGGAACAACCAGACCUAAAAAUAGAGGAGACAGGAAGAAAGUAGCUUUUUCUGAAAAGAAAGAAGCUAUUAAAAACCAUAUGUAGUCUUUUACUAGCAGAGAAAGUCAUUAUGGAAGAAAAGGUGCUCCAGGACAUAAAUAUUUGCCCUUUGAUUUAAAUGUAAAGUGGAUGUAUGAACUUUUUUGGAUAAAAACAAUACUUAUAUUGUA
Hydra vulgaris (swiftwater hydra) is the source of this 672-nucleotide non-coding RNA. The record is from RefSeq and is a predicted model, not a curated record. NCBI's taxonomy places the organism in Eukaryota, Metazoa, Cnidaria, Hydrozoa, Anthoathecata, Hydridae.